UCAAAUUUCCAUUAAAAUGUGUGGUCCAGUGAAGUGAAUCUAAAAUAAGCUGCCUUUGUUUUGGGUGUGAGCUACUGGAAAUAGGUUAAAUAUGUUUUUGACGGUGAAUUGACUCUAUUUAAUAUGUUUACCCUAGGUGCUUAUGGUGAUGUUAUGCGUGUUAAGAUUCUCUUCAAUAAACCCGACACAGCUCUUAUACAGUUUGCAGACUCACAGCAUACACAAACAGGUAAGACACUCUUCUUGUUUAAAACUAAAACGAAUUACCUUCGUUUACACUGGAUAGCUCUUUCAGUUUUAAAUUGAUUCUGCUUGAGGUAUCCAUUAUUGGCUACAUGAGGAG
Molecule: non-coding RNA, 343 nt
Organism: Paramuricea clavata
Lineage: Eukaryota; Metazoa; Cnidaria; Anthozoa; Malacalcyonacea; Plexauridae
Source: the annotation of a GenBank genome assembly